AGAGUUUGAUUAUGGCUCAGAACGAACGCUGGCGGCGUGCCUAACACAUGCAAGUCGAACGGGAAAAGCUCCUUCGGGGGCCUAGUACAGUGGCGCACGGGUGAGUAACACGUAGGUAAUCUACCCUUCGCUGGGGAAUAACUCCGGGAAACCGAAGCUAAUUCCGCAUACGUCCCCGCUCAUGCGUGAGGGGAAAGGUGGCCUCUCCUUGGAAGCUAUCGGCGAUGGAUGAGCCUGCGUAUCAUUAGCUAGUUGGUGAGGUAACGGCUCACCAAGGCUUCGACGAUUAGCUGAUCUGAGAGGAUGAUCAGCCACACUGGAACUGAAACACGGUCCAGACUCCUACGGGAGGCAGCAGUGGGGAAUAUUGCGCAAUGGGCGAAACUGUGACGCAGCAACGCCGCGUGAGUGAUGAAGGCCUUCGGGUCGUAAAGCUCUGUCGAGAGGGAAGAAACUCUGAUGGUACUAAUACACCAUCAGUUUGACGGUACCUCCAAAGGAAGCACCGGCUAACUCCGUGCCAGCAGCCGCGUAAUACGGAGGGUGCAAGCGUUGUUCGGAAUUACUGGGCGUAAAGGGCGUGUAGGCGGAUCGAGAAGUCGGGUGUGAAAGCCCUGGGCUCAACCCAGGAAGUGCGCUCGAAACCAUCGGUCUUGAGUUUCGGAGGGGAGCGGGGAAUUCCCAGUGUAGAGGUGAAAUUCGUAGAUAUUGGGAGGAACACCGGUGCCGAAGGGGCCGCUCUGGACGAAUACUGACGCUAAGRMGCGAAAGCGUGGGUAGCAAACAGGAUUAGAUACCCUGGUAGUCCACGCUGUAAACGAUGUGCACUAGGUGUYSGGGGUAUUGACCCCCCCGGUGCCGCCGUAACGCAUUAAGUGCACCGCCUGGGAAGUACGGCCGCAAGGUUGAAACUCAAAGGAAUUGACGGGGCCCGCACAAGCGGUGGAGUAUGUGGUUCAAUUCGACGCAACGCGAAAAACCUUACCUGGGCUUGACAUCUGGGGAAGCUCCUAGAGAUAGGAAUGUGCCUUCGGGGAACCCCAAGACAGGUGCUGCAUGGCUGUCGUCAGCUCGUGUCGUGAGAUGUUGGGUUAAGUCCCGCAACGAGCGCAACCCCUGCCCUUAGUUGCUAACGGGUUAUGCCGAGCACUCUAGGGGGACCGCCGGUGUUAAACCGGAGGAAGGUGGGGAUGACGUCAAGUCCUCAUGGCCUUUAUGCCCAGGGCUACACACGUACUACAAUGGCCGGUACAAAGGGUCGCAGAGCCGCGAGGUGAAGCUAAUCCCAAAAAACCGGUCUCAGUUCGGAUUGAUCUCUGCAACUCGAGAUCAUGAAGUUGGAAUCGCUAGUAAUCGCUGAUCAGCAUGCAGCGGUGAAUACGUUCCCGGGCCUUGUACACACCGCCCGUCACACCACGAAAGCUGUUUAUACCAGAAGUGCGUGACCCAACCGCAAGGAGGAGCGCCCCAAGGUAUGAGCAGUGAUUGGGGUGAAGUCGUAACAAGGUAACC
RNAcentral lists this ribosomal RNA (1512 nucleotides) under uncultured bacterium. Its description in RNAcentral is "16S ribosomal RNA". It matches the Rfam family "Bacterial small subunit ribosomal RNA". The record is from RNAcentral.